GAAAGCGUAAUAGCUCACUAGUCGAGUCGGCCUGCGCGGAAGAUGUAACGGGGCUAAGCAAUAUACCGAAGCUGCGGAUACGUGUUUACACGUAUGGUAGGGGAGCGUUGUGUAAGUGGAUGAAGGUGGAUUGAGAAGUCUGCUGGACAUAUCACAAGUGCGAAUGCUGACAUGAGUAACGAUAAUGGGAGUGAAAAACUCCCACGCCGGAAGACCAAGGUUUCCUGUCCCAUGCUAAUCAGGGCAGGGUAAGUCGGCCCCUAAGGCGAGGCAGAAAUGCGUAGUCGAUGGGAAACGGAUUAAUAUUUCCGUACUUGGUAUAUCAGUGAUGGGGGGACGGAGAAGGUUAUGCAAGCAUAGCGUUGGUUGUCUAUGUGAAAGUGUGUAGGGUUGAAGUUUAGGUAAAUCCGGACUUCUACAUGCCUGAGACACGAGACGAGAUUCUACGGAAUUGAAGUUGCAAAUACCCUGCUUCCAGGAAAAGCCUCUAAACUUAUGAUAUAUCGAACCGUACCCCAAACCGACACAGGUGGUCAGGUAGAGAAUACUAAGGCGCUUGAGAGAACUCGGGUGAAGGAACUCGGCAAAAUUGUACCGUAACUUCGGGAGAAGGUACGCCCUUGUUUGUGAUAGGACUUGCUCCUUGAGCAGAUGAGGGCCGCAGUGACCAGGUGGCUGGGACUGUUUAUUAAAAACACAGCACUCUGCUAACUCGCAAGAGGACGUAUAGGGUGUGACACCUGCCCGGUGCCGGAAGGUUAAUUGAUGGGGUUAUCUUCGGAGAAGCUCUUGAUCGAAGCCCCGGUAAACGGCGGCCGUAACUAUAACGGUCCUAAGGUAGCGAAAUUCCUUGUCGGGUAAGUUCCGACCUGCACGAAUGGUGUAACCAUGGCCACGCUGUCUCCACCCGAGACUCAGUGAAAUUGAAAUCGCAGUGAAGAUGCUGUGUACCCGCACCUAGACGGAAAGACCCCGUGAACCUUUACUACAGCUUGGCACUGAACAUUGAACCUACAUGUGUAGGAUAGGUGGGAGGCUUCGAAGCACAGUCGCUAGAUUGUGUGGAGCCGUCCUUGAAAUACCACCCUUGUAUGUUUGAUGUUCUAACAUUGGUCCCUUAUCGGGAUUAUGGACAGUGUCUGGUGGGUAGUUUGACUGGGGCGGUCUCCUCCCAAAUAGUAACGGAGGAGCACGAAGGUUAGCUAAUCACGGUCGGACAUCGUGAGGUUAGUGCAAUGGCAUAAGCUAGCUUAACUGCGAGACAGACACGUCGAGCAGGUACGAAAGUAGGUCAUAGUGAUC
Molecule: ribosomal RNA, 1302 nt
Filed under: seawater metagenome
Description: bacterial LSU rRNA
Rfam family: Bacterial large subunit ribosomal RNA
Source: RNAcentral